Molecule: ribosomal RNA, 1148 nt
Filed under: Rhodomonas sp. CCMP768
Lineage: Eukaryota; Cryptophyceae; Pyrenomonadales; Pyrenomonadaceae
Description: eukaryotic LSU rRNA
Rfam family: Eukaryotic large subunit ribosomal RNA
Source: RNAcentral
CCGAGGCGGCCCUUUCGGUCCCGCUGACAGCCUCCCUAUUGACCCUGUCGAUGGGGAAGCGUGAAUUCAUUUUGACGUGCAAAUCAAUGAAGAGAAUUGUGUAUAGGGGCGAAAGACUAAUCGAACCAGAUUGUAGCUGGUUUCCUUCGAAGUUUCUCUUAGGAUAGCUGAAGUUCAUGAUGAUAGUUUUAAACAGUAAAGAUAAUGAUUAGAAGGUUAGUGGAAAUUGAAGUAUUCUACACUUAUUCUCAAACUUUAAAUGUUUAAGAUAAAGCGCAUUACCGAAAGGAAUGUGUUUUCGAGAAUAGCGAACUUUUAGUGGGCCUUGUUUGGUAAGCAGACUGGGCGAUGUAGGAUGAACUAAACGUCAAGUUAAAAUGUCAGAAUAGGUAUACGCAUAAAGAAACCAUAAAAGGUGUUGUUCAAUAUAGACAGCAUGACGGUGAUCAUGGAAGUAGAGAUCCGCUAAGAAGUGUGUAACAACUUACAUGUCGAAUUGAAUAGCCCUGAAAAUGGAUGACGCUAAGUAUAGGAAUAUUUAGACUUGACCUUCUGUGUUGUAGAAGUAUGCUACACAAGUAUAGGAAUAUUUAGACUUGACCUUCUGUGUUGUAGAAGUAUGCUACACAGAAGAGUAGAAGGAUAUGUUUUUGAUGGCGAAGCAUCUCUGUGAGGGGGUGUGGAAUUGAAAAUAGUGCAGAUCUUGGUAAUAGUAGCAAAUAUUUAAUUGAGAAAAUUAAAGAUUGAAGAAGAAAAUGGUUCCUUAAGAAGUGUAAUACGUUAAGGGUGAGUCGAUUUUAAGGAGAAAAUUGAGAUAGAUUGAAAUGCGUACAAUUCAUCUGAUGGAGUGUAUGUGAAUCCAAAAAAGAAACAGGUUAAAAUUCCUGUACUUAAACAAGGGUUUUGUAUAGAAAAUGGUGACAUAAAAUUCAUUUGAAGAUAUUAAUGGACAAUUUGUCAAGAGAUUUCUUUUCUUGUUAAUAAUCGAGGCGUACCUCUCGGGGUGCGCAUCAAAAACUACUCUGAAAUUGAAUCACUCAGAGAAAGAGUAGUUGGGAUUAAAAGAAUAUACCUACUAUUUCAAAGGUAUAUACAAAUUUGUUCAAUAAUCCAUGAAAAUUCAAAGAAUUGAUUUUUUUUGCAAAAAA